UGCAGUCGAGCGGAACGAGUUGUCUGAACCUUCGGGGAACGAUAACGGCGUCGAGCGGCGGACGGGUGAGUAAUGCCUGGGAAAUUGCCCUGAUGUGGGGGAUAACCAUUGGAAACGAUGGCUAAUACCGCAUAAUAGCUUCGGCUCAAAGAGGGGGACCUUCGGGCCUCUCGCGUCAGGAUAUGCCCAGGUGGGAUUAGCUAGUUGGUGAGGUAAGGGCUCACCAAGGCGACGAUCCCUAGCUGGUCUGAGAGGAUGAUCAGCCACACUGGAACUGAGACACGGUCCAGACUCCUACGGGAGGCAGCAGUGGGGAAUAUUGCACAAUGGGCGCAAGCCUGAUGCAGCCAUGCCGCGUGUAUGAAGAAGGCCUUCGGGUUGUAAAGUACUUUCAGCAGUGAGGAAGGUGGUGUACUUAAUACGUGCAUCAUUUGACGUUAGCUGCAGAAGAAGCACCGGCUAACUCCGUGCCAGCAGCCGCGGUAAUACGGAGGGUGCGAGCGUUAAUCGGAAUUACUGGGCGUAAAGCGCAUGCAGGUGGUUUGUUAAGUCAGAUGUGAAAGCCCGGGGCUCAACCUCGGAAUUGCAUUUGAAACUGGCAGACUAGAGUACUGUAGAGGGGGGUAGAAUUUCAGGUGUAGCGGUGAAAUGCGUAGAGAUCUGAAGGAAUACCGGUGGCGAAGGCGGCCCCCUGGACAGAUACUGACACUCAGAUGCGAAAGCGUGGGGAGCAAAC
This 736-nucleotide ribosomal RNA is filed under the name uncultured bacterium. RNAcentral describes it as "bacterial SSU rRNA". It matches the Rfam family "Bacterial small subunit ribosomal RNA", at positions 56 to 773 of the family's 1533-position model. The record is from RNAcentral.